RNAcentral lists this ribosomal RNA (328 nucleotides) under uncultured freshwater bacterium. RNAcentral describes it as "bacterial SSU rRNA". It matches the Rfam family "Bacterial small subunit ribosomal RNA", at positions 1049 to 1380 of the family's 1533-position model. The record is from RNAcentral.
CUGUCGUCAGCUCGUGUCGUGAGAUGUUGGGUUAAGUCCCGCAACGAGCGCAACCCUUGUCACUAGUUGCUACGGUAACGGGCACUCUAGUGAGACUGCCGGUGACAAACCGGAGGAAGGUGGGGACGACGUCAAGUCCUCAUGGCCCUUAUGGGUAGGGCUUCACACGUCAUACAAUGGCGCAUACAGAGGGCUGCCAACCCGCGAGGGGGAGCCAAUCCCAGAAAGUGCGUCGUAGUCCGGAUUGCAGUCUGCAACUCGACUGCAUGAAGUCGGAAUCGCUAGUAAUCGCGGAUCAGCAAUGUCGCGGUGAAUACGUUCCCGGGUC